Cuculus canorus (common cuckoo) is the source of this 2146-nucleotide long non-coding RNA. RefSeq lists it as uncharacterized. Lineage: Eukaryota; Metazoa; Chordata; Aves; Cuculiformes; Cuculidae. The record is from RefSeq and is a predicted model, not a curated record. The transcript has 3 exons.
GUAAGAAUUUCAUAUUUGUAUGCCAGAUUAUCAAUCUUACUUAGGCGUUCUUGAAUUUCAAUACUGAUUUAUUUGGAAGAAAAGAAAUGGGUUGAGAAAGUGUUUGUCUGGUAGGGCUUUGUGGGCAGUUCCUGUUACAGCAGAUUAAAUCACUGGUGUUAUUCCAGCAGCCUGUCCAUGUAGCAGGAGGCAGGCAGGGCAGCAGUUGUGCUCCUGCUGGUUUUUGUUGCUUUCUGUGUUCUCCCAGCCACAGUCAUCCCCUUUUCUGUUUACCUAUGCUUCUCUUGCAGUUCUAAAUUGAAUUGAAUUCAUAUUCCAGAUUGCUGUAUGCUGGGAGGCUGUGCCACAGUCCUCCUCAAAACUUUUAAAGGUUUGGCAUUUAAAUGCUACAGCUGCACUAGCUGCCCCCUGCUGAUAUUAUCUUAAUAUUGCCACUACUAGAGAAGCCUAAGCAACAGUAGGCAACAACCCCAAAUCAAAUUACAUGGAAGUAUCAAUUAGCUGUGUAAUUAUCAAAAGGAAAAAAACUACACAGUCUGCACUCUUGGUGAGCAGUUAAGCUUUAGUCACACUAAAUCACUCUAAUUUCCUAUUGUGUGGAGUGUGGUUAGCAGAGGAGUGAAUAAAAAGCCUGCCAGAUUUCAGCAGUUAUCUGCUGAAGUGUUGAUUUUUGGCUGGAUAUGGAUACUGGGAUUUCAGACCUAAAACCGUCUCAGAAACUUUUCCCUUCUGUAAUUAUCAGUGUAAAGUAAUUUCAUAUGUGGUUGCUUUAUAAGAGGUUACAUGCAUAACUCAGAUUUGAUUUUGUUAUAUAGGACACAAAAUGGAAAGCUCGUUUGUUAAAAAGGCAAAAAAAAAAAUCCCAACUGAAAUUGAAAACAGACAGAUUUACUGUAUGAAUCCAAGAAAUCAGUUUUAUCAAGCAGUUGGGAGUAAACCCACUUUAAAAUGUUAGAACUUCCUCUGUGUUGGUACACAGAGUAUCUCGAAGACGGUUCAAUUGUAGUUUUAAGAGAUUAUCUUCAACCAUCAUCUCCUAAUAAAUAUCAAAAAGGUCUUAAAAUAAGAAAGCAUCAUUUUCAAUUAAGAUGAUUUAUAACAAUGGAGAAACCUGAUCAAGGGUAUGUAUAGCAGGUCUCUCUCAGUACCAGAAUAAGAAACUAGGAGGUCACAAGGUGUCACCUGAACUGUAAGUCUCUUUCUUUCCUUGUUUCUGACUUGCAUGCCACGGAUGUUCUAACACCUAAUCAUGGGAGACUGUUCUCAUUAUCACAUUAUGUGAAAAAUGUCUGGCAAGAGUCUCGCAGCUUAGAGAUGAAAACCUACCAAUUCUGUGAAACCUCAUGUUCAUAUGAAUUAUAGAGUAAUCUAAUAACCUACACCUUGUUUGAGCUACCUACAGUUUAAUUAGGAUAUCGGCUUAUGAACCACCUGCUACAGAAAAGUUAUCCAAAGUUAAGGCAACAGCAGAUGUGGGGGUUUUUUUAAAUCACCAAGUUUACUGAGCAGCCCAGUAUUACCAUUUUCUUGUUAAGAGAAAACUCGGGCAAUACGAGUGUAUCCCUUCUCAACAGAGUCAUAAGACUUAAAUUACCUCAGAAAUACUUCUACAGCCACUUAAGUAAUUAAGUAGUGCAGCUCAUUCCUGGCUUUAAGUGCAGACAGCACUUUAAGUAUGGACAGCCUCAAGCAUGGCCUGUUCAGAGGGCCUCUUGGUCAGAAAGCCAUGUGAAAGUGUGCGGGUUUUUUGAAGAAUUUUAACGUGACUGCAAGGACUAUCAACACUCACUUCUGAGAGCAGAGGACAGGAAUUGUUUGAAAUCUGGAAGAGAUUUCUCUCAUCUUCAUACAGUACUGCAGUCUAUGUACGCUAAAGGCAAGAUGCCUCAUUCUGAAGCAUCUCUUAGUGUUACACUAUUUAAGAGGAAAUUCAUCCAUUUUAUACCCACACAGCAGCAAAUGCAAGCUAAUUUCCUCACCGCUGUCAAUUAAAGGAUUAAGUUGAGGGUUCAGAUCCAAAUAAUCAUGAGUAGACUGAGAAGGGCAGACAUUUUGUUGAAUUAUUAAGAGAGUCUACUAUAAAAAUAAACCCAAUUGCUAUUUCUGUAUCUCCUCCAUCUAGUCAGGUGUUAGAGUUAAAAGCUAU